CCUGAGAAACCCGAAAGUUCGAAAGAGGAGAUUCAUCGUCAGCGACCGCUGGCUUUUGUACGUUUCGCGAUGUCGUGGCGACCGGCUCCGGCCUCUCGCUCGAUACGCGUUCGUAUGUUUUUUAGACCCGGUUCGUCGGCGUGCACUUCUCCUCUAGUAGGACGUCGCGACCCGUUGGGUGUCGGUCUACGGCACAGUAGGGUUGCCUGUCGCGUGUCGUGCUACUUCUGCGGCAUUUGUCGCGCGGCAGACCCCCGUUGCCCGGCCAGCUCUCGGCGGUACUCGUACGGUAUCGAGCCGCAUUUGCAUUCGUGCGUUUGCGUCCCCGACCCGUCGCAGGCUAGGCCAGUGUUCUCGAAUGUACGGAUUUAAUGCCGUCUUCGGUCCUGGUCAACCGUUCGCGAAGGUGUUCUCGGACAGGCUCAAUUCAUGAUAUCGGUCGGCGACGCUAUUGCUUCGGGUACUUUCAGGACCCGUCUUGAAACACGGACCAAGGAGUCUAACAUGUGCGCGAGUCAUUGGGAGUAAGAAACCCAAAGGCGAAAUGAAAGUGAAGGUCCGACCUUGCGUCGACCGAGGGAAGAUGGGUCGCGCUCGACGCGACCCCGCAUUCCCGGGGCGUCUCAUUCUCAUUGCGAGAAGAGGCGCACCUAG
This 654-nucleotide ribosomal RNA is filed under the name Hybrizon sp. DLJQ-2008. Its description in RNAcentral is "eukaryotic LSU rRNA". It matches the Rfam family "Eukaryotic large subunit ribosomal RNA", at positions 420 to 798 of the family's 3401-position model. The record is from RNAcentral. Lineage: Eukaryota; Metazoa; Arthropoda; Insecta; Hymenoptera; Ichneumonidae.